Salmo trutta (river trout) is the source of this 1079-nucleotide long non-coding RNA. Lineage: Eukaryota; Metazoa; Chordata; Actinopteri; Salmoniformes; Salmonidae. The record is from Ensembl.
GGUGUUUUACAGGGUGUUUUACAGGGUGUUUUACAGGGUGUUGGGUGUUUUACAGGGUGUUUUACAAGGUGUUUUACAGGAGGGCCCUGGUCCGCCUCAGUGGCAACGUUCAGCAUUUAUAAAGUUGUUAAAGUUUAUGUGGGAACACACUGGUACGCCACUUACUACAAAACCCUGUUAAAGCACCCAGAGCUCCUGUCCAACCCCAGGAAGAGCAGCUGGAUCGUAUUCGGUCAGAGUCUCCAGAUCAAGGCCGACGGAGCGAUGUUCAGACACAUCCUCAACUUCCUGAGAUGUGGACGCCUGUUGCUGCCCUCUGUGUUCAAGUACAGUAGGGAGCUGGGAAACUGGACACGGCAGUGAGACAAAAUGGCCGCUCUUUAUCGGUCAAUACUAACCAUUUUUGUGUCCAUGCCGUGCAGGGAAUGGCGGCUGCUAUGCCAUGAGGUAGAGGAGUUUCAGAUCCCGGCUCUGACUGGAGCCCUGGAGGACUGCUCUGACUACAGGGCCUGGUGUCAGAGCAACAAGCCUGCUGCCGGUAACCAGUCUUCCUCGUCAGCCGAGUCCCUACUCAUUUACAACCAGGAUCAAGAUGGCUUCACGGGGAUCGGUUACAACCCUGAGAGCAUGGAUGUAAGUCCAUCACAAACACAAGAUAGAGCCAGUCCUGAAGACUCCUUCAUCUCAGUGGGUGAGGACAUCUGUUCCUUGGUGGAACCAGAGAAUGACCUGAGACUGAGAAACUCUCUGCUUCAGAGACUAGAGGAGAACAGACAGGUCAAUAGAGAGGACAGAAUAGAGUCGAGCCAGCUCCCACCAGCUCCUCUACAGUCAACAGUAGAGUCUGGUGGUCAGACCAGUCACCUCUCAGUCCCCUCUGACAGACUGACUCAGAACAAUACCACGUCAUAUACCACCAGCAAGCUCUCAUCAUCCCCUUUGGUACAAAACAGAACAUUGGAUAGCAGAAAGCUAUCCUCUUCUCUCUGCAGUGUUACACACCAGCCUUACCACGCUAGUCAAUUCUCCCCAACAGGGCUGAGUAGUCCGGGACAGGAACCACUAGGUUCUAGACACUU